AGUGAACGCUGGCGGUAGGCCUAACACAUGCAAGUCGAACGGCAGCACAGUAAGAGCUUGCUCUUACGGGUGGCGAGUGGCGGACGGGUGAGGAAUACAUCGGAAUCUACUUUUUCGGGGGGGAUAACGUAGGGAAACUUACGCUAAUACAGCAUACGACCUACGGGUGAAAGCAGGGGAACUUCGGACCUUGCGCGAUUGAAUGAGCGGAUGUCGGAUUAGCUAGUUGGCGGGGUAAAGGCCCACCAAGGCGACGAUCCGUAGCUGGACUGAGAGGAUGAUCAGCCACACUGGAACGGAGCCACGCUCCAUACUCCUACGGGAGGCACCAGUGUGGUAUAUUGGACAAUGGGCGCAAGCCUUAUCCAGCCAUACCGCGUGUGUGAAGAAGGCCUUCGGGUUGUAAAGCCCUUUUUUUGGGAAAGAAAAGCAGCCGCUUAAUACCCCGCUGUUCUGACGGUACCCAAAGAAUAAGCACCGGCUAACUUCGUG
Molecule: ribosomal RNA, 492 nt
Filed under: uncultured bacterium
Lineage: Bacteria
Description: partial 16S ribosomal RNA
Rfam family: Bacterial small subunit ribosomal RNA
Source: RNAcentral